This 771-nucleotide long non-coding RNA is filed under the name Zea mays. RNAcentral's name for it is "long non-coding RNA (ZMAY_LNC003288)". Lineage: Eukaryota; Viridiplantae; Streptophyta; Magnoliopsida; Poales; Poaceae. The record is from RNAcentral.
CGCAAUAUUAAUGCAUACCAAGCAGAUCAACAAUUCGUUCCAAUAAGGAAGAUAUCGCCCCAGCUAGCGUGCGUUUGUUUUUACCAGAGGCGCCGGUCCACGGACCACCUUGCCCUGGUUGUUGUACUGGGAUCCGUGGCAGGGGCAGAUGAACUUGUUCUCAGCGCCGUUCCACGGCACGACGCAGCCGAGGUGAGUGCACACGGCGUUGAUCCCGUAGGUGGCCAGCGUCUUGUCCUGCUCCACCACCAGGUACGUGGGGUCACCCUGCACGCGCGGCGGCGCGCACAAACACGCCGGCCGUCAGCAUCAGCACGACAGACAUGCCUGCAGCUGCAGGUGACGACGACGAUGGCGGUGGGGUGACUGACCUUGAGCCCCUGCGCGAGCGUGCGGUCGUUGGGACCGUGCGUGUUGAGCCACGCCUCCACCGUGAUGUCGUUGCCCAGCUUGUCCUUCGCGUAGGUCCCGCCGCCGGCGUUCCCGGAGCUGCGUGCAAGAUCAACAGGACGAGGUACUUUCCGUUAAGUGCUGGCUGGCAGCUAACACGUAUGUACAGCGAGCCGCUAGGUAGCGAGACGACUCACCCGGCAGGGACGAAGAAGGCGCCGUAGGGGACGACCAUGCCGACGGUGGGCAACGAGAUGGCGCCGAGGAGGAGGAGGUUCAUCAGCUUCCGCUUCUCCAUGUCGGGGACGCGGUCGGCGGAGAUGCUGCUCGCCGCCUGGCACACAAUGCUCCGCUGGGCGCGCUCGCGGCCCAUGCUCAGGC